GAUGAACGCUGGCGGCGUGCCUAAUACAUGCAAGUCGAGCGAACGGACGAGAAGCUUGCUUCUCUGAUGUUAGCGGCGGACGGGUGAGUAACACGUGGAUAACCUACCUAUAAGACUGGGAUAACUUCGGGGAACCGGAGCUAAUACCGGAUAAUAUUUUGAACCGCAUGGUUCAAAAGUGAAAGACGGUCUUGCUGUCACUUAUAGAUGGAUCCGCGCUGCAUUAGCUAGUUGGUAAGGUAACGGCUUACCAAGGCAACGAUGCAUAGCCGACCUGAGAGGGUGAUCGGCCACACUGGAACUGAGACACGGUCCAGACUCCUACGGGAGGCAGCAGUAGGGAAUCUUCCGCAAUGGGCGAAAGCCUGACGGAGCAACGCCGCGUGAGUGAUGAAGGUCUUCGGAUCGUAAAACUCUGUUAUUAGGGAAGAACAUAUGUGUAAGUAACUGUGCACAUCUUGGCGGUACCUAAUCAGAAAGCCACGGCUAACUACGUG
Molecule: ribosomal RNA, 497 nt
Filed under: uncultured bacterium
Lineage: Bacteria
Description: partial 16S ribosomal RNA
Rfam family: Bacterial small subunit ribosomal RNA
Source: RNAcentral